This 373-nucleotide ribosomal RNA is filed under the name uncultured organism. RNAcentral describes it as "partial 16S ribosomal RNA". It matches the Rfam family "Bacterial small subunit ribosomal RNA", at positions 527 to 896 of the family's 1533-position model. The record is from RNAcentral.
GUAGGUGGCAAGCGUUGUCCGGAAUUAUUGGGGCGUAAAGCGCGCGCAGGCGGUUCUUUAAGUCUGAUGUGAAAGCCCACGGGCUCAACCGUGGAGGGUCAUUGGAAACUGGAGAACUUGAGUACAGAAGAGGAAAGCGGAAUUCCACGUGUAGCGGUGAAAUGCGUAGAGAUGUGGAGGAACACCAGUGGCGAAGGCGGCUUUCUGGUCUGUAACUGACGCUGAGGCGCGAAAGCGUGGGGAGCAAACAGGAUUAGAUACCCUGGUAGUCCACGCCGUAAACGAUGAGUGCUAAGUGUUAGGGGGUUUCCGCCCCUUAGUGCUGCAGCUAACGCAUUAAGCACUCCGCCUGGGGAGUAUGGCCGCAAGGCUG